AACGAACGCUGGCGGCAUGCCUAACACAUGCAAGUCGAAUGAGACCUUCGGGUCUAGUGGCGCACGGGUGCGUAACGCGUGGGAACCUGCCCUUAGGUUCGGAAUAACUCCCCGAAAGGGGUGCUAAUACCGGAUAAUGUCUUCGGACCAAAGAUUUAUCGCCUUUGGAUGGGCCCGCGUUGGAUUAGCUAGUUGGUAGGGUAAAAGCCUACCAAGGCGACGAUCCAUAGCUGGUCUGAGAGGAUGAUCAGCCACACUGGGACUGAGACACGGCCCAGACUCCUACGGGAGGCAGCAGUAGGGAAUAUUGGGCAAUGGGCGAAAGCCUGAUCCAGCAAUGCCGCGUGAGUGAUGAAGGCCUUAGGGUUGUAAAGCUCUUUUACCCGGGAUGAUAAUGACAGUACCGGGAGAAUAAGCUCCGGCUAACUCCGUG
RNAcentral lists this ribosomal RNA (433 nucleotides) under uncultured bacterium. Its description in RNAcentral is "partial 16S ribosomal RNA". It matches the Rfam family "Bacterial small subunit ribosomal RNA", at positions 29 to 507 of the family's 1533-position model. The record is from RNAcentral.